UCGUAACAAGGUUUCCGUAGGUGAACCUGCGGAAGGAUCAUUACCGAGUGAGGGCCCUUUGGGUCCAACCUCCCACCCGUGUUUAUUUUACCUUGUUGCUUCGGCGGGCCCGCCUUUACUGGCCGCCGGGGGGCUCACGCCCCCGGGUCCGCGCCCGCCGAAGACACCCUCGAACUCUGUCUGAAGAUUGAAGUCUGAGUGAAAAUAUAAAUUAUUUAAAACUUUCAACAACGGAUCUCUUGGUUCCGGCAUCGAUGAAGAACGCAGCGAAAUGCGAUACGUAAUGUGAAUUGCAAAUUCAGUGAAUCAUCGAGUCUUUGAACGCACAUUGCGCCCCCUGGUAUUCCGGGGGGCAUGCCUGUCCGAGCGUCAUUGCUGCCCUCAAGCCCGGCUUGUGUGUUGGGCCCCGUCCUCCGAUUCCGGGGGACGGGCCCGAAAGGCAGCGGCGGCACCGCGUCCGGUCCUCGAGCGUAUGGGGCUUUGUCACCCGCUCCGUAGGCCCGGCCGGCGCUUGCCGAUCAACCCAAAUUUUUAUCCAGGUUGACCUCGGAUCAGGUAGGGAUACCCGCUGAACCUAAGCAUAUCA
This 586-nucleotide unclassified non-coding RNA is filed under the name Penicillium aurantiogriseum. RNAcentral describes it as "sequence contains 18S rRNA gene, ITS1, 5.8S rRNA gene, ITS2, 28S rRNA gene". The stretch from base 220 to 372 matches the Rfam family "5.8S ribosomal RNA". Lineage: Eukaryota; Fungi; Ascomycota; Eurotiomycetes; Eurotiales; Aspergillaceae. The record is from RNAcentral.